Oreochromis aureus is the source of this 695-nucleotide long non-coding RNA. NCBI's taxonomy places the organism in Eukaryota, Metazoa, Chordata, Actinopteri, Cichliformes, Cichlidae. The record is from Ensembl.
GAGAAAACAAGUGUACCGUGAUUUGAUCUGUAUCUGUGUUUGGCAAGCUUUAGGUUUUACUCAUUGACUCAGGAAUAAGUAUCUAACGUGUAACUGGAGAGAAGAGGAAAUGAUAAUAUCAACAUUCAUGUCCACACGGGUGCUGAAUGACUGCAGCGGCAUUAGUGGGACCAGUUGAGACCAGUCGGACUCCCCCUGCACUGCAGGCUUCAUUGAAGAGAUUGGAUAUGAGGAGAAGAGCGAGCCUCCGUCUGCCUGAAAUGCGCUCAUUUUGAAGCUACAGGCAGGCCCAUACGUUUUUGGACAGUUAUACCUUUCGUCUGUGUUUGUUUUUGUAAUUUUGCAUCUGCAUUCGUGGAUUUUAAUAGAAUAGAAAAAUAUGGUCGAUCCGGUAAUAUCUCACUGAAUGAUAUCCAUCCACACCUGCCCCCCCCGGCUUCACUGCUUGGAACCUCAGGAUCAGUCCUCACUGGACCCACCACGACCACAACCACUACAGCCUAGACCUUCCCCUCAAGCUCACUCCACCUGCAAAUAGUUUUCAGGGCGCUCAACGAUGUCCAGAGAAUGAGCCGUGUUUGGUGAGGAAAUCAAUGGCUGCACCCGUUAGACUCUUCUGUCAUUCUUGAUGCCAAGUGCUGCUACACACUGAUACAGUAGCUUCUGUGGAGAAGAUUGCAUGAACAACACAAAGG